UUUAAAAUAAAAAAACAGAAAAUCGUAAUUGAGAAUAAGGACUUCCUGCUGCUGUAAUGCAGUGCUGGAGAAAGAGAGAGAGAGAGAGAGAGAGAGAGAGAGAGAGAGAGAGAGAGAGAGAGAGAGAGAAUCGGGGGAUGGGUUGUGGCGCAGUUUAGAAUAAAUCGAAAGUAAGGUGUAUUUCCUCCUUUAGAAGAGGAGAGAAGAUCUACAGAGGUUCGAAUUAUCUCGGAGAUCUUGGCAGCAUCUUGAGUAUCCUCCUUCAUGAUGGAGCCUCAUCACUCCAUAUCUCGGAGUGAAUCUCCUGUCAUAAAUGAUGAAGGAGAACGCCCACUACGUAACCCUCUGCUUAGACACGCAUCAGAACCCGUUUACAGUACUCUAGGAUUUGAUUUUACUGGAAGUUGCACUGCUCCACAGGUCAGUGCUGGGGGUAGGAGUCGUGUUAUAUUCCUGCAGCCCACAGACGGCAUUAGGAAUGGUGCAGUAUACUCACGUUUAUCUGCUCCAUGGGGCUGCGUGACUCUGAAGACCACAUCCCUUCAAGCUCUACAGCCUACUUUUAGUACUGGAGGAGAAAAUCCAGAGCACAGCAACAGCUGUCAGAAAAACCAUCAACCCCCUAACAUCCGUACUGCAGGAGAACAUCCAGAGCACAGCUAUUGGAACGAAUCCCCAGACCUUCAAAUCCCUAAUUUCUGUACUGGAGAAAAACAUGCAGAACUCAGCGAUUCGGACGCAUCCCCAGACUUUUCCUGCCCUAACUUCCGUACAGGAGUGAAACAUGCAGAACUUAGCUAUGAGAAAAAAUACACAAACUUUCUACACUCUUACUUCUGUACUGGAGAAAAACAUGCAGAUCUCAGCGAUUCGGACACAUCCCCAGACUUUUCCCGUCCUAACUUCCGUACUGGAAAGAAACAUGCAGAACUUAGCUAUCAGAAAAAAUCCAGAUACUUUCUACACCCUUACUUCCGUACUGGAGAAAAACAUGCAAAUCUCAGCAAAUUGAAAACAUCCCCAGACUUUCCUCGCCCUAACUUCUGUACUGGAAAUAGCAUGAUCUUAAGCUAUAAACUCCUUGCCUUCAGUGCUGGAGAAACGACAAAGGCAGAAAAGGCAGAUGUGAGCAAUCAGGCACAGAAAGAGUAACUGAUCGAAUUUUGUAUAUUUUAAUUGCUGCCAUUUGGUAUUGUUGAUAAUGUUGUUAUCAUAUUACUAUUAAGCACUGUUAACCAUGAUUGUAUGUGACUUUUUAUUAAUAACAUAUAAAGGCAAGGAAAGGCAAGUUUAUUUGAAUUGCACCUUUCAUACAAAAUGGUUAUUCAAAGUGCUUUAGAAAUGAGAAAAUACAAAGAGGAGUCAAAAUAUAAAAACAUGUAACAAUAAAAAUGGAAAUAAAAGAAUACCA
This 1411-nucleotide long non-coding RNA is filed under the name Astyanax mexicanus (Mexican tetra). RNAcentral's name for it is "lncRNA (ENSAMXG00005009415.1)". Lineage: Eukaryota; Metazoa; Chordata; Actinopteri; Characiformes; Acestrorhamphidae. The record is from RNAcentral.